UUGGCGUUAGGGUUAAAAUCACUGUCCAAAACCUUUUUAGGAACAUGUUUCAGACCUUUUGGAGUUGGUUACACCAAAAAAAAUGUAAAAUGAAAAAAAAAAAUUGGGGGGUUUUCGGGCUUCCUGAAGGUAAUACCCAGGUAUUAGAUUUCAAGGCUAGGGUAAGGUUUAAGGUUUUUGGCGUUAGGGUUAAAAUCACUGUCCAAAACCUUUGUAGGAACUCUUUUCCAACCUUUUGGAGUUAGUUAGACCAAAAAAAUAUGAAAAAUUAAAAAACAAUGUUUGGGGUUUUCGGGGUUCCUGAAUGUAAUACCCGGGUAUUAGAUUUUGAGGCUAGGGUAAGGAUUAAGUUUUUUGGCAUUAGGGUUAAAAUCACUGUCCAAAACCUUUGUAGGAACUCUUUUCCAACCUUUUGGAGUUGGUUACACCAACAAAAAUGUAAAAUGAAGAAAAAAAUAUUUGGGGUGUUCAGGCUUCCUGAAGGUAAUACCCGGGUUAUUAGAUUUCAAGGCUAGGGUAAGGUUUAAGGUUUUUGGCGUUAGGGUUAAAAUCACUGUCCAAAACCUUUGUAGGAACUCUUUUCCAACCUUUUGGAGUUAGUUAGACCAAAAAAUAUGAAAAAAGAAAAAAGUAUUAUUGGGGGUUUUCGGGCUCCCUGAAAGUAAUACCCGUGUAUUAGGUUUUGGGACUAGGGAAAGGUUUAAGGGUUUUGGCAUUAGGGUUAAAAUCACUGUCCAAAACCUUUGUAGGAACUCUUUUCCAACCUUUUGGAGUUAGUUAGACCAAAAAAAAAAAGAAAAAUGAAAAAAAAAUAUUUGGGGUGUUCAGGCUUCCUAAAAGUAAUACCCGGGUAUUAGGUUAUGGGGCUAUGGUAAGGUUUAAGGUUUUUGGCGUUAGGGUUAAAAUCACUGUCCAAAACCUUUUUUGGAACAUGUUUCAGACCUUUUGGAGUUAGUUAGACCAAAAAAAAAAAGAAAAAAAAAAUAUUUUGGGUGUUCAGGACUCCUGAAGGUUAUACAGGUAUUAUAUUAGGUUAUGGGGCUUGGGUAAGGUUAAAGGUUUUUGGCGUUAGGGUUAAAAUCACUGUCCAAAACCUUUAUAGGAACAUGUUUCAGACCUUUUGGAGUUGGUUACACCAAAAAAAAUGUAAAAAGAAAAAAAAAUAAUUGGGGUGUUCGGGCUUCCUGAAGGUAAUACCCAGGUAUUAGGUUAUGGGGCUAUGGUAAGGUUUAAGGUUUUUGGCGUUAGGGUUAAAAUCACUGUCCAAAACCUUUUUAGGAACUCUUUUCCAACCUUUUGGAGUUAGCUAGACCAAAAAAAAAAAAAAAGAAAAAUGAAAAAAAAAAAUGUUUGGGGUGUGAAGGAUUCCUUAAGUUAAUACCCGGGUGUUAGGUUCGGGAAUAGGGUAAGGUUGAAGGGUUUUGGCGUUAGGGUUAAAAUCACUGUCCAAAACCUUUUUAGGAACAUGUUUCAGACCUUUUGGAGUUGGUUACACCAAAAAAAAUGUAAAAUGAAAAAAAAAAAUUGGGGGGUUUUCGGGCUUCCUGAAGGUAAUACCCAGGUAUUAGAUUUCAAGGCUAGGGUAAGGUUUAAGGUUUUUGGCGUUAGGGUUAAAAUCACUGUCCAAAACCUUUGUAGGAACUCUUUUCCAACCUUUUGGAGUUAGUUAGACCAAAAAAAUAUGAAAAAUUAAAAAACAAUGUUUGGGGUUUUCGGGGUUCCUGAAUGUAAUACCCGGGUAUUAGAUUUUGAGGCUAGGGUAAGGAUUAAGUUUUUUGGCAUUAGGGUUAAAAUCACUGUCCAAAACCUUUGUAGGAACUCUUUUCCAACCUUUUGGAGUUGGUUACACCAACAAAAAUGUAAAAUGAAGAAAAAAAUAUUUGGGGUGUUCAGGCUUCCUGAAGGUAAUACCCGGGUAUUAGAUUUCAAGGCUAGGGUAAGGUUUAAGGUUUUUGGCGUUAGGGUUAAAAUCACUGUCCAAAACCUUUGUAGGAACUCUUUUCCAACCUUUUGGAGUUAGUUAGACCAAAAAAUAUGAAAAAAGAAAAAAGUAUUAUUGGGGGUUUUCGGGCUCCCUGAAAGUAAUACCCGUGUAUUAGGUUUUGGGACUAGGGAAAGGUUUAAGGGUUUUGGCAUUAGGGUUAAAAUCACUGUCCAAAACCUUUGUAGGAACUCUUUUCCAACCUUUUGGAGUUAGUUAGACCAAAAAAAAAGAAAAAUGAAAAAAAAAUAUUUGGGGUGUUCAGGCUUCCUAAAAGUAAUACCCGGGUAUUAGGUUAUGGGGCUAUGGUAAGGUUUAAGGUUUUUGGCGUUAGGGUUAAAAUCACUGUCCAAAACCUUUUUUGGAACAUGUUUCAGACCUUUUGGAGUUAGUUAGACCAAAAAAAAAAAGAAAAAAAAAAAAUAUUUUGGGUGUUCAGGACUCCUGAAGGUUAUACAGGUAUUAUAUUAGGUUAUGGGGCUUGGGUAAGGUUAAAGGUUUUUGGCGUUAGGGUUAAAAUCACUGUCCAAAACCUUUGUAGGAACUCUUUUCCAACCUUUUGGAGUUAGUUAGACCAAAAAAAAAAAGAAAAAUGAAAAAAAAAUAUUUUGGGUUUUCGGGCUUCCUGAAGGUAAUACCCGGGUAUUAGGUUUUGUGGCUAGGGAAAGGUUUAAGGUUUUUGGCAUUAGGGUUAAAAUCACUGUCCAAAACCUUUGUAGGAACUCUUUUCCAACCUUUUGGAGUUACUUAGACCAAAAAAAAAAGAAAAAUGAAAAAAGAAAUAUUUGGGGUUUUCGGGCUUCCUGAAUGUAAUACCCGGGUAUUAGGUUAUGGGGCUAUGGUAAGGUUUAAGUUUUUUGGCAUUAGGUUUAAAAUCACUGUCCAAAACCUUUGUAGGAACUCUUUCCCAACCUUUUGGAGUUAGUUAGACCAAAAAAAAAUGAAAAAUGAAAAAAAAAUGUUUGGGGUUUUCGGGCUUCCUGAAUGUAAUACCCGGGUAUUAGAUUUUAAGGCUAGGGUAAGGUUUAAGUUUUAUGGCGUUAGGGUUAAAAUCACUGUCCAAAACCUUUGUAGGAACUCUUUUCCAACCUUUUGGAGUUAGUUAGACCAAAAAAAAAAUGAAAAAUGAAAAAAAAAACAUAUUUGGGGUGUUCAGGCUUCCUAAAAGUAAUACCCCGGUAUUAGGUUAUGGGGCUAUGGUAAGGUUUAAGGUUUUUGGCGUUAGUGUUAAAAUCACUGUCCAAAACCUUUGUAGGAACUCUUUUCCAACCUUUUGGAGUUAGCUAGACCAAAAAAAUUAAAAAAGGAAAAAAAUAUAUUUGGGGUUUUCGGGCUUCCUGAAGGUAAUACCCGGGUAUUAGGUUUUGGGGCUAGGGUAAGGUUUAAGGUUUUUGGCAUUAGGGUUAAAAUCACUGUCCAAAACCUUAGUAGGAACUCUUUUCCAACCUUUUGGAGUUGGUUACACCAACAAAAAUGUAAAAUGAAAAAAAAUAUUUGGGGCUUUCGGGCUUCCUGAAGGUUAUACCCGGGAAUUAGAUUUUAUGGCUAGGGUAAGGUUUAAGUUUUUUUGGCGUUAGGGUUAAAAUCACUGUCCAAAACCUUUGUAGGAACUCUUUUCCAACCUUUUGGAGUCAGUUAGACCAAAAAAAAACGAAAAAUGAAAAAAAAAUAUUUGGGGUGUUCAGGCUUCCUAAAAGUAAUACCCGGGUAUUAGGUUAUGGGGCUAUGGUAAGGUUUAAGGUUUAUGGCAUUAGGGUUAAAAUCACUGUCCAAAACCUUUGUAGGAACUCUUUUCCAACCUUUUGGAGUUAGUUACACCAACAAAAAUGUAAAAUGAAAAAAAAAUAUUUGGGGUUUUCGGGCUUCCUGAAUGUAAUACCCGGGUAUUAGAUUUUAAGGCCAGGGAAAGGUUUAAGUUUUUUGGCGUUAGGGUUAAAAUCACUGUCCAAAACCUUUGUAGGAACUCUUUUCCAACCUUUUGGAGUUAGUUAGACCAAAAAAAAAAACGAAAAAUGAAAAAAAAAUAUUUGGGGUGUUCAGGCUUCCUAAAAGUAAUACCCGGGUAUUAGGUUAUGGGGCUAUGGUAAGGUUUAAGGUUUAUGGCGUUAGGGUUAAAAUCACUGUCCAAAACCUUUAUAGGAACUAUUUUCCAACCUUUUGGAGUUAGUUAGACCAAAAAAAAUGAAAAAUGAAAAAAAAAAGAGAAAUGUAAAUCUGAUCAAUGUCCUAAGGGAAAAUCUGUACGUGUGUGUGUGUGUUCUUUUUUGCUAACUUAGUCUGGUGUCACUGAUGGUCAGUUAUUGAUAAGUAUUUAUUAUUUAAAUUUUUGAUGAAGUUGUUUGUAGUGGGGUUAGCUGGCUAAUUUUAGAGUGUUAAAAAAGAUGAUAGAGGGGGAGGAUUUAGGGGGCACGGCGGUUCCCCUUCAGGUCUCUCUUAAUCCUCCAUAUAGGUGACCCAACAGGGGUUACCCCCCGGCCGGGGUAGGCCGAGGCUGAAGAUCACCUAUUUGUCCUCUGUGAAGGUGAAAAUAAAGGGGCAGGGGAGGGAAUAAGAAAGGGGGGGUGUUAGAGAGAGGGGGAGAGAUGAGGGGGAGAGAUGAGGGAGAGAGAUGAGGGAGAGAGAGAGAGAGAGAGAGAGAGAGAGAGAGAGAGAGAGAGAGAGAGGUGUGUGUGUGUGUGUGUGUGUGUGAGAGAGGGAGAGAGAGAGAGAGAGAGAAGGGAAGAGGGAGAGGGGGGUUUAAGGGAGAGGUGGAGAUGGUGGAAAAUAAAGAUUGGUGAGGGGGAUGUUGACAUAUCACAUGUUCCCAGUCAAGUCUCCAAGCUCAAUCUGUGUGUAAAAAUUAUGUGUUGGUAGGAAGUUUAAUGACUCCACUCAAUUGGUAUGCCAUGCUGUCUAUCUUUUAGACUAUGUGUUUGUAAAUUAUGUAUAUAUUAUAUUACAGGGCUAGGGUAAGGUUAAAGGUUUUUGGCGUUAGGGUUAAAAUCACUGUCCAAAACCUUUGUAGGAACUCUUUUCCAACCUUUUGGAGUAAGCUAGACCAAAAAAAAAAAAAUGAAAAAUGAAAAAAAAAAUGUUUGGGGUGUGAAGGCUUCCUUAAGUUAAUACCCGGGUAUAAGGUUCGGGAAUAGGGUAAGGUUGAAGGUUUUUGGCGUUAGGGUUAAAAUCACUGUCCAAAACCUUUAUAGGAACAUGUUUCAGACCUUUUGGAGUUGGUUACACCAAAAAAAAUGUAAAAUGAAAAAAAAAUAAUUGGGGUGUUCGGGCUUCCUGAAGGUAAUACCCAGGUAUUAGGUUAUGGGGCUAUGGUAAGGUUUAAGGUUUUUGGCGUUAGGGUUAAAAUCACUGUCCAAAACCUUUUUAGGAACAUGUUUCAGACCUUUUGGAGUUAGUUAGACCAAAAAAAAAAAAGAAAAAAAAAAAAUGUUUUGGGUGUUCAGGACUCCUGAAGGUUAUACAGGUAUUAUAUUAGGUUAUGGGGAUUGGGUAACGUUUAAGGUUUUUGGCGUUAGGGUUAAAAUCACUGUCCAAAAUCUUUGUAGGAACUCUUUUCCAACCUUUUGGAGUUAGUUAGACCAAAAAAAAAAAGAAAAAUGAAAAAAAAAUAUUUGGGGUUUUCGGGCUUCCUGAAGGUAAUACCCGGGUAUUAGGUUUUGUGGCUAGGGAAAGGUUUAAGGUUUUUGGCAUUAGGGUUAAAAUCACUGUCCAAAACCUUUGUAGGAACUCUUUUCCAACCUUUUGGAAUUAGCUAGACCAAAAAAAUAUGAAAAAUUAAAAAACAAUGUUUGGGGUUUUCGGGGUUCCUGAAUGUAAUACCCGGGUAUUAGAUUUUGAGGCUAGGGUAAGGAUUAAGUUUUUUGGCAUUAGGGUUAAAAUCACUGUCCAAAACCUUUUUAGGAACAUGUUUCAGACCUUUUGGAGUUAGUUAGACCAAAAAAAAUGUAAAAUGAAAAAAAAAUGUUUGGGGUUUUCGGGCUUCCUGAAUGUAAUACCCGGGUAUUAGAUUUUAAGGCUAGGGUAAGGUUUAAGUUUUAUGGCGUUAGGGUUAAAAUCACUGUCCAAAACCUUUGUAGGAACUCUUUCCCAACCUUUUGGAGUUAGUUAGACCAAAAAAAAAAAAUGAAAAAUGAAAAAAAAAUAUUUGGGGUGUUCAGGCUUCCUAAAAGUAAUACCCGGGUAUUAGGUUAAGGGGCUAUGGUAAGGUUAAAGUUUUUGGCAUUAGUGUUAAAAUCACUGUCCAAAACCUUUGUAGGAACUCUUUCCCAACCUUUUGGAGUUAGUUAGACCAAAAAAAAUGAAAAAUGAAAAAAAAAUGUUGGGGGUUUUCGGGCUUCCUGAAGGUAAUACCCAGGUAUUAGGUUAUGGGGCUAUGGUAAGGUUUAAGGUUUUUGGUGUUAGGGUUAAAAUCACUGUCCAAAACCUUUUUAGGAACUCUUUUCCAACCUUUUGGAGUUACUUAGACCAAAAAAUAUGAAAAAGGAAAAAAAAAUAUUUGGGGUGUUCGGGCUUCCUGAAGGUAAUACCCAGGUAUUAGGUUAUGGGGCUAGGGUAAGGUUUAAGUUUUAUGGCGUUAGGGUUAAAAUCACUGUCCAAAACCUUUGUAGGAACUCUUUUCCAACCUUUUGGAGUUAGUUAGACCAAAAAAAAAAAUGAAAAAUGAAAAAAAAAACAUAUUUGGGGUGUUCAGGCUUCCUAAAAGUAAUACCCCGGUAUUAGGUUAUGGGGCUAUGGUAAGGUUUAAGGUUUUUGGCGUUAGUGUUAAAAUCACUGUCCAAAACCUUUGUAGGAACUCUUUUCCAACCUUUUGGAGUUAGCUAGACCAAAAAAAUUAAAAAAGGAAAAAAAUAUAUUUGGGGUUUUCGGGCUUCCUGAAGGUAAUACCCGGGUAUUAGGUUUUGGGGCUAGGGUAAGGUUUAAGGUUUUUGGCAUUAGGGUUAAAAUCACUGUCCAAAACCUUAGUAGGAACUCUUUUCCAACCUUUUGGAGUUGGUUACACCAACAAAAAUGUAAAAUGAAAAAAAAAUAUUUGGGGCUUUCGGGCUUCCUGAAGGUUAUACCCGGGAAUUAGAUUUUAUGGCUAGGGUAAGGUUUAAGUUUUUUUGGCGUUAGGGUUAAAAUCACUGUCCAAAACCUUUGUAGGAACUCUUUUCCAACCUUUUGGAGUCAGUUAGACCAAAAAAAAACGAAAAAUGAAAAAAAAAUAUUUGGGGUGUUCAGGCUUCCUAAAAGUAAUACCCGGGUAUUAGGUUAUGGGGCUAUGGUAAGGUUUAAGGUUUAUGGCAUUAGGGUUAAAAUCACUGUCCAAAACCUUUGUAGGAACUCUUUUCCAACCUUUUGGAGUUAGUUACACCAACAAAAAUGUAAAAUGAAAAAAAAAUAUUUGGGGUUUUCGGGCUUCCUGAAUGUAAUACCCGGGUAUUAGAUUUUAAGGCCAGGGAAAGGUUUAAGUUUUUUGGCGUUAGGGUUAAAAUCACUGUCCAAAACCUUUGUAGGAACUCUUUUCCAACCUUUUGGAGUUAGUUAGACCAAAAAAAAAAACGAAAAAUGAAAAAAAAAUAUUUGGGGUGUUCAGGCUUCCUAAAAGUAAUACCCGGGUAUUAGGUUAUGGGGCUAUGGUAAGGUUUAAGGUUUAUGGCGUUAGGGUUAAAAUCACUGUCCAAAACCUUUAUAGGAACUAUUUUCCAACCUUUUGGAGUUAGUUAGACCAAAAAAAAUGAAAAAUGAAAAAAAAACAGAAAUGUAAAUCUGAUCAAUGUCCUAAGGGAAAAUCUGUACGUGUGUGUGUGUGUGUUCUUUUUUGCUAACUUAGUCUGGUGUCACUGAUGGUCAGUUAUUGAUAAGUAUUUAUUAUUUAAAUUUUUGAUGAAGUUGUUUGUAGUGGGGUUAGCUGGCUAAUUUUAGAGUGUUAAAAAAGAUGAUAGAGGGGGAGGAUUUAGGGGGCACGGCGGUUCCCCUUCAGGUCUCUCUUAAUCCUCCAUAUAGGUGACCCAACAGGGGUUACCCCCCGGCCGGGGUAGGCCGAGGCUGAAGAUCACCUAUUUGUCCUCUGUGAAGGUGAAAAUAAAGGGGCAGGGGAGGGAAUAAGAAAGGGGGGUGUUAGAGAGAGGGGGAGAGAUGAGGGGGAGAGAUGAGGGAGAGAGAUGAGGGAGAGAGAGAGAGAGAGAGAGAGAGAGAGAGAGAGAGAGAGGUGUGUGUGUGUGUGUGUGUGUGAGAGAGAGAGAGAGAGAGAGAGAGAGAAGGGAAGAGGGAGAGGGGGGUUUAAGGGAGAGGUGGAGAUGGUGGAAAAUAAAGAUUGGUGAGGGGGAUGUUGACAUAUCACAUGUUCCCAGUCAAGUCUCCAAGCUCAAUCUGUGUGUAAAAAUUAUGUGUUGGUAGGAAGUUUAAUGACUCCACUCAAUUGGUAUGCCAUGCUGUCUAUCUUUUAGACUAUGUGUUUGUAAAUUAUGUAUAUAUUAUAUUACAGGGCUAGGGUAAGGUUAAAGGUUUUGGCGUUAGGGUUAAAAUCACUGUCCAAAACCUUUGUAGGAACUCUUUUCCAACCUUUUGGAGUAAGCUAGACCAAAAAAAAAAAAAAUGAAAAAUGAAAAAAAAAAUGUUUGGGGUGUGAAGGCUUCCUUAAGUUAAUACCCGGGUAUAAGGUUCGGGAAUAGGGUAAGGUUUAAGGUUUUUGGCGUUAGGGUUAAAAUCACUGUCCAAAACCUUUAUAGGAACAUGUUUCAGACCUUUUGGAGUUAGUUAGACCAA
Molecule: non-coding RNA, 8722 nt
Organism: Xyrichtys novacula (pearly razorfish)
Lineage: Eukaryota; Metazoa; Chordata; Actinopteri; Labriformes; Labridae
Source: the annotation of a GenBank genome assembly